UAGGGUGUAGAAGCGAACUUGGGGAACUGAAAUAUCUAAGUACCCAAAGGAAAAGAAAUCAACAGAGAUUCCCUUAGUAGCGACGAGCGAAAGGGGACCAGCCCUUAAGUUUAUAUUUUGUUAGUGGAAGCACCUGGAAAGUUGCGCGAUAGAGGGUGAUAGUCCCGUACACGAAAGCAAGAUAUAGAUGAAAUCGAGUAGGACGGGGCACGUGAAACCUUGUCUGAACAUGGGGGGACCAUCCUCCAAGGCUAAAUACUCUCAGCUGACCGAUAGUGAACCAGUACCGUGAGGGAAAGGCGAAAAGAACCCCUGUGAGGGGAGUGAAAUAGAACCUGAAACCAGAUGCAUACAAGCAGUGGGAGCAUGUCUUCGGACGUGUGACUGCGUACCUUUUGUAUAAUGGGUCAGCGAGUUACUUUUUGUGGCAAGGUUAACCGUAUAGGGGAGCCGUAGGGAAACCGAGUCUUAAUAGGGCGUCUUAGUCGCAAGGAGUAGACCCGAAACCGGGCGAUCUAGCCAUGGGCAGGUUGAAGGUUGAGUAACAUCAACUGGAGGACCGAACCCACUAAUGUUGAAAAAUUAGGGGAUGACCUGUGGUUAGGAGUGAAAGGCUAAUCAAGCCCGGAGAUAGCUGGUUCUCCUCGAAAUCUAUUUAGGUAGAGCCUCUCGUAUUACCAUCGGGGGUAGAGCACUGUUUGGGCUAGGGGGUCAUCUAGACUUACCAACCCCAUGCAAACUCCGAAUACCGAUGAGUACAGCGAGGGAGACACACGGCGGGUGCUAACGUCCGUCGUG
Molecule: ribosomal RNA, 798 nt
Filed under: uncultured bacterium
Lineage: Bacteria
Description: bacterial LSU rRNA
Rfam family: Bacterial large subunit ribosomal RNA
Source: RNAcentral